ACGCCGUGUAGCUCCGCGGAUUUGGCGCGGGGGUAUCCACGGUCCCGCCAAACCGGGACGAGACCACGGGGA
Molecule: non-coding RNA, 72 nt
Filed under: unclassified sequences
Description: 88-dG-II sequence
Rfam family: 2dG-II purine riboswitch aptamer
About the family: Purine riboswitch variant that recognize 2'-deoxyguanosine
Source: Rfam by way of RNAcentral